AGCGGUAGCACAGAGCAGCUUGCUCUCGGGUGACGAGCGGCGGACGGGUGAGUAAUGUCUGGGAAACUGCCUGAUGGAGGGGGAUAACUACUGGAAACGGUAGCUAAUACCGCAUAACGUCGCAAGACCAAAGUGGGGGACCUUCGGGCCUCAUGCCAUCAGAUGUGCCCAGAUGGGAUUAGCUAGUAGGUGGGGUAACGGCUCACCUAGGCGACGAUCCCUAGCUGGUCUGAGAGGAUGACCAGCCACACUGGAACUGAGACACGGUCCAGACUCCUACGGGAGGCAGCAGUGGGGAAUAUUGCACAAUGGGCGCAAGCCUGAUGCAGCCAUGCCGCGUGUGUGAAGAAGGCCUUCGGGUUGUAAAGCACUUUCAGCGGGGAGGAAGGCGAUAAGGUUAAUAACCUUGUCGAUUGACGUUACCCGCAGAAGAAGCACCGGCUAACUCCGUGCCAGCAGCCGCGGUAAUACGGAGGGUGCAAGCGUUAAUCGGAAUUACUGGGCGUAAAGCGCACGCAGGCGGUCUGUCAAGUCGGAUGUGAAAUCCCCGGGCUCAACCUGGGAACUGCAUUCGAAACUGGCAGGCUAGAGUCUUGUAGAGGGGGGUAGAAUUCCAGGUGUAGCGGUGAAAUGCGUAGAGAUCUGGAGGAAUACCGGUGGCGAAGGCGGCCCCCUGGACAAAGACUGACGCUCAGGUGCGAAAGCGUGGGGAGCAAACAGGAUUAGAUACCCCUGGUAGUCCACGCCGCAAACGAUGUCGAUUUGGAGGUUGUGCCCUUGAGGCGUGGCUUCCGGAGCUAACGCGUUAAAUCGACCGCCUGGGGAGUACGGCCGCAAGGUUAAAACUCAAAUGAAUUGACGGGGGCCCGCACAAGCGGUGGAGCAUGUGGUUUAAUUCGAUGCAACGCGAAGAACCUUACCUGGUCUUGACAUCCACAGAACUUAGCAGAGAUGCUUUGGUGCCUUCGGGAACUGUGAGACAGGUGCUGCAUGGCUGUCGUCAGCUCGUGUUGUGAAAUGUUGGGUUAAGUCCCGCAACGAGCGCAACCCUUAUCCUUUGUUGCCAGCGGUCCGGCCGGGAACUCAAAGGAGACUGCCAGUGAUAAACUGGAGGAAGGUGGGGAUGACGUCAAGUCAUCAUGGCCCUUACGACCAGGGCUACACACGUGCUACAAUGGCAUAUACAAAGAGAAGCGACCUCGCGAGAGCAAGCGGACCUCAUAAAGUAUGUCGUAGUCCGGAUUGGAGUCUGCAACUCGACUCCAUGAAGUCGGAAUCGCUAGUAAUCGUAGAUCAGAAUGCUACGGUGAAUACGUUCCCGGGCCUUGUACACACCGCCCGUCACACCAUGGGAGUGGGUUGCUAAAAGAAGUAGGUAGCUUAACCUUCUGGGGAAGGCGCCCG
This 1404-nucleotide ribosomal RNA is filed under the name Klebsiella quasipneumoniae. RNAcentral's name for it is "bacterial SSU rRNA". It matches the Rfam family "Bacterial small subunit ribosomal RNA". The record is from RNAcentral. Lineage: Bacteria; Pseudomonadati; Pseudomonadota; Gammaproteobacteria; Enterobacterales; Enterobacteriaceae.